CCUACGGGAGGCAGCAGUGGGGGAUAUUGCACAAUGGAGGCAACUCUGACCCAGCAACGCCGCGUGGGCGAUGAAGCUCUUCGGAUCGUAAAGCUCUGUAAGCGGGGACGAAGAAAGUGACUGUACCCGCAGAAUAAGCCUCUGCUAACUACGUGCCAGCAGCGGCGGUAAUACGUAGGAGGCAAUCGUUAUCCGGAAUGACUGGGCGUAAAGGGGGCGUAGGUGGUUUUGCAAGUUAGUAGCGUAAUCCCGGGGCUCAACCUCGGUGCUACUACCGAAACUGUUGAACUUGAGUGCAGGAGGGGUGAAUGGAAUUCCCGGUGUAGCGGUGGAAUGCGUAGAUAUUGGGAAGAACACCAGCGGCGAAGGCGAUUUACUGGACUGUAACUGACAUUGAGGCCCGAAAGCGUGGGGAGCAAACAGGAUUAGAUACCCGAGUAGUC
Molecule: ribosomal RNA, 443 nt
Filed under: uncultured bacterium
Lineage: Bacteria
Description: partial 16S ribosomal RNA
Rfam family: Bacterial small subunit ribosomal RNA
Source: RNAcentral